Molecule: long non-coding RNA, 479 nt
Organism: Paramacrobiotus metropolitanus
Lineage: Eukaryota; Metazoa; Tardigrada; Eutardigrada; Parachela; Macrobiotidae
Exons: 3
Source: RefSeq, a predicted model, not a curated record
CUGAUGCGUGUCUCCACAUGGGAAAAGCAAAAUGGAAAAAUGACAAAUAUACAGCCGCCUAUAUCCCCGCGAUGCAGCAUAACCUGCCUUGUUUUACUUUGGCCGGCAUAAUUAUUAAUCGGGAAAAUGCCAUUGGGAUCGCUGCCGCGUUGGCUAGUACCAUGAUAGUUUUUUCCGAGCUCUCCAGUUCUAGCAAACCGAAAAGAGCCCCAAAAACCUGCAACUGCACGCAGUUGUAGCCCACUUGAGUGCUAAAAGGAGAUGGCGUAAUUAACUUCAACUCAGAUGCGGGGAAGAGAAUUUGCAUGGGCGUUUGUAACGGACCAUCAAACAGCAAGAAAAAUUCUAUCUACCUCUUUUUCUAUUGUAUGUCCCUGCUUCGCAAAAUGUGUGCUUGUUCAUGGUGAAACUUUAUAUUAUGUGACAGAUUGCAGCCGCCAUGGCAGAUACGCCAUUUACAUGUAAUUAAGACAUGCUAA